Molecule: small nucleolar RNA, 139 nt
Organism: Phragmites australis (common reed)
Lineage: Eukaryota; Viridiplantae; Streptophyta; Magnoliopsida; Poales; Poaceae
Product: small nucleolar RNA Z247
Exons: 1
Source: RefSeq, a predicted model, not a curated record
CCUCUAGAUGAUGAAGAGAUGGUCUCGUACAUCCUCACUAGACUCGACGUUGAUUUAAAUCCAGUCGUGUCCGCCAUCAUCGCAUGAGUGGAGCCAAUCUUAGUAAGUGAAUUGUAUGCUCAAUUGCUAAGUUUUGAAA